UCCAGACUCCUACGGGAGGCAGCAGUGGGGGAUAUUGCACAAUGGGGGGAACCCUGAUGCAGCGACGCCGCGUGGGUGAAGGAGCGUUUCGGCGCGUAAAGCCCUAUCGGCAGGGAAGAAGGAGGACGGUACCUGACUAAGAAGCCCCGGCUAACUACGUGCCAGCAGCCGCGGUAAUACGUAGGGGGCAAGCGUUAUCCGGAUUUACUGGGUGUAAAGGGGGCGCAGACGGCAGCGCAAGCCAGGAGUGAAAGCCCGGGGCCCAACCCCGGGACUGCUCUUGGAACUGCGCGGCUGGAGUGCAGGAGGGGCAGGCGGAAUUCCUGGUGUAGCGGUGAAAUGCGUAGAUAUCAGGAGGAACACCGGCGGCGAAGGCGGCCUGCUGGACCGUGACUGACGUUGAGGCUCGAGAGCGUGGGGAGCAAACAGGAUUAGAUACCCCGGUAGG
RNAcentral lists this ribosomal RNA (448 nucleotides) under uncultured bacterium. Its description in RNAcentral is "partial 16S ribosomal RNA". It matches the Rfam family "Bacterial small subunit ribosomal RNA", at positions 330 to 794 of the family's 1533-position model. The record is from RNAcentral.